RNAcentral lists this ribosomal RNA (119 nucleotides) under Pteropus alecto (black flying fox). The record is from RNAcentral. Lineage: Eukaryota; Metazoa; Chordata; Mammalia; Chiroptera; Pteropodidae.
GUCCACGGCCAUGCUACCCCGAACAAGCCUGAUCCCAUCUGAUCUCUGAAGCUAAGGAGGGUCGGGCCUGGUUAGUACCUGAAUAGGAGACCACCUAGGAAGACCAAGUGCUAUAGGUG